AGCACAGGACACAGCUAGGUUCUGAAGCUUCUGAGUUCUGCAGCCUCACCUCUGAGAAAACCUCUUUGCCACCAAUACCAUGAAGCUCUGCGUGACUGUCCUGUCUCUCCUCGUGCUAGUAGCUGCCUUCUGCUCUCUAGCACUCUCAGCACCAAAGGCAAGCAAGUCUGCGCUGACCCCAGUGAGUCCUGGGUCCAGGAGUACGUGUAUGACCUGGAACUGAACUGAGCUGCUCAGAGACAGGAAGUCUUCAGGGAAGGUCACCUGAGCCUGGAUGCUUCUCCAUGAGCCGCAUCUCCUCCAUACUCAGGACUCCUCUCCGCAGUUCCUGUCUCUUCUCUUAAUGUAAUCUCUUUUAUGUGCUGUAUUAUUGUAUUAGGUGUUAUUUCCAUUAUUUAUAUUAGUUUAGCCAAAGGAUAAGUGUCCCCUAUGGGGAUGGUCCACUCUCACUCUUUCUCUGCUGUUGCAAAUACAUGGAUAACACCGUUAAUUCCAUGUGUUUUCAUAAUAAAACUUUAAAAUAAAAUGCAAACAGUU
This 537-nucleotide long non-coding RNA is filed under the name Homo sapiens (human). RNAcentral describes it as "long non-coding RNA NONHSAT177285". Lineage: Eukaryota; Metazoa; Chordata; Mammalia; Primates; Hominidae. The record is from RNAcentral.